AACAAAGUACCCGGUAGGGAAAGUUGCAAAGCACUUUGAAGAGAGAGUUAAAGAGGACGUGAAACCGGUGAAGGUGGAAACGGAUAGAGUCGGCGUAUCAUUCAAUUAUUCAGUUACAUUAUUUUUAUGUUGUGACCUCUGAGCUCCAGAUUGGGACAGAGGGAAUCAGCAUAAUUUUUUGUGGUGCAUUUACUUGAUUGGUGCUUGGGGAUGUUUGAGGCAGAUUUGUUUCCGUCGUUUUGAGGCCAGCUUGCUGGUACCCAAACGGUGUUAGCAUUUUUUGUCUUGGGCAUUUGAGUAUGGCUCACGUGUAUUUAUUGGACAGAUCUGAGUGUAAGUUACGGUCGCAUGCGACACGUGCUUUUCAAUUAGUUCGGUCCAGUUAAUGCUCUCGUACUCGUUCCCCAUGUAAAAGCCGGUCAUCUAUCCGACCCGUCUUGAAACACGGACCAAGGAGUUUAUCGUGUGCGCAAGUUUUUGGGUGUUAAAAACUUAAAAGCGAAAUGAAAGUAAAUGACUCUUUAGAGUCUGAUGUGCGAUCUUGUAAAAAAGUGUAGCAUGGCCCCAUUCUAACUGUUUACAGUAGGGUGGCGGAAGAGCGUACGCGGUGAGACCCGAAAGAUGGUGAACUAUUCCUGAGCAGGACGAAGCCAGAGGAAACUCUGGUGGAAGUCCGAAGCGGUUCUGACGUGCAAAUCGAUCGUCUGACUUGGGUAUAGGGCGAAAGUC
RNAcentral lists this ribosomal RNA (729 nucleotides) under Meloidogyne sp. FL-2021. RNAcentral's name for it is "partial large subunit ribosomal RNA". It matches the Rfam family "Eukaryotic large subunit ribosomal RNA", at positions 342 to 931 of the family's 3401-position model. Lineage: Eukaryota; Metazoa; Nematoda; Chromadorea; Rhabditida; Meloidogynidae. The record is from RNAcentral.